This 490-nucleotide ribosomal RNA is filed under the name uncultured bacterium. Its description in RNAcentral is "partial 16S ribosomal RNA". It matches the Rfam family "Bacterial small subunit ribosomal RNA", at positions 30 to 507 of the family's 1533-position model. The record is from RNAcentral.
AUUGAACGCUGGCGGCAGGCCUAACACAUGCAAGUCGAACGGUAACAGGAAGAAGCUUGCUUCUCUGCUGACGAGUGGCGGACGGGUGAGUAAUGUCUGGGAAACUGCCUGAUGGAGGGGGAUAACUACUGGAAACGGUAGCUAAUACCGCAUAACGUCGCAAGACCAAAGAGGGGGACCUUCGGGCCUCUUGCCAUCGGAUGUGCCCAGAUGGGAUUAGCUAGUAGGUGGGGUAACGGCUCACCUAGGCGACGAUCCCUAGCUGGUCUGAGAGGAUGACCAGCCACACUGGAACUGAGACACGGUCCAGACUCCUACGGGAGGCAGCAGUGGGGAAUAUUGCACAAUGGGCGCAAGCCUGAUGCAGCCAUGCCGCGUGUAUGAAGAAGGCCUUCGGGUUGUAAAGUACUUUCAGCGGGGAGGAAGGGAGUAAAGUUAAUACCUUUGCUCAUUGACGUUACCCGCAGAAGAAGCACCGGCUAACUCCGUG